This 301-nucleotide ribosomal RNA is filed under the name uncultured bacterium. Its description in RNAcentral is "partial 16S ribosomal RNA". It matches the Rfam family "Bacterial small subunit ribosomal RNA", at positions 509 to 807 of the family's 1533-position model. The record is from RNAcentral.
CAGUCGCCGCGGGAAUACGGAGGGUGCAAGCGUUAAUCGGAAUUACUGGGCGUAAAGCGUGCGUAGGUGGUGGUUUAAGUCCGUUGUGAAAGCCCUGGGCUCAACCUGGGAAUUGCAGUGGAUACUGGGUCACUAGAGUGUGGUAGAGGAUAGUGGAAUUUCCGGUGUAGCAGUGAAAUGCGUAGAGAUCGGAAGGAACAUCUGUGGCGAAGGCGACUAUCUGGGCCAACACUGACACUGAGGCACGAAAGCGUGGGGAGCAAACAGGAUUAGAUACCCCUGUAGUCCCUGUCUCUUAUAC